This 1477-nucleotide ribosomal RNA is filed under the name Vibrio mediterranei. Its description in RNAcentral is "bacterial SSU rRNA". It matches the Rfam family "Bacterial small subunit ribosomal RNA". The record is from RNAcentral. Lineage: Bacteria; Pseudomonadati; Pseudomonadota; Gammaproteobacteria; Vibrionales; Vibrionaceae.
GGCCCGGGGCCGCCCGCAUGCGAUAGUAGACCGGGCUCCGCACGGAUAGGAGCUGAUCCGACCCGAUUCUGUCUGAGGCCGGCUGGCGAGCGGCGGACGGGUGAGUAACGCCUGGGAAAUUGCCCUGAUGUGGGGGAUAACCAUUGGAAACGAUGGCUAAUACCGCAUAAUGCCUUCGGGCCAAAGAGGGGGACCUUCGGGCCUCUCGCGUCAGGAUAUGCCCAGGUGGGAUUAGCUAGUUGGUGAGGUAAUGGCUCACCAAGGCGACGAUCCCUAGCUGGUCUGAGAGGAUGAUCAGCCACACUGGAACUGAGACACGGUCCAGACUCCUACGGGAGGCAGCAGUGGGGAAUAUUGCACAAUGGGCGCAAGCCUGAUGCAGCCAUGCCGCGUGUGUGAAGAAGGCCUUCGGGUUGUAAAGCACUUUCAGCAGUGAGGAAGGCGGGUACGUUAAUAGCGUGCUCGUUUGACGUUAGCUGCAGAAGAAGCACCGGCUAACUCCGUGCCAGCAGCCGCGGUAAUACGGAGGGUGCGAGCGUUAAUCGGAAUUACUGGGCGUAAAGCGCAUGCAGGUGGUUCGUUAAGUCAGAUGUGAAAGCCCGGGGCUCAACCUCGGAACUGCAUUUGAAACUGGCGGACUAGAGUACUGUAGAGGGGGGGUAGAAUUUCAGGUGUAGCGGUGAGAUGCGUAGGAGAUCUGAAAGAAUACCGGUGGCGAAGGCGGCCCCCUGGACAGAUACUGACACUCAGAUGCGAAAGCGUGCGGAGCAAACAGGAUUAUAUACCCUGGUAGUGCGACGCCGUAAACGAUGGUCUACUUGGAGGUUGUGGCCUUGAGCCGUGGCUUUCGGAGCUAACGCGUUAAGUAGACCGCCUGGGGAGUACGGUCGCAAGAUUAAAACUCAAAUGAAUUGACGGGGGCCCGCACAAGCGGUGGAGCAUGUGGUUUAAUUCGAUGCAACGCGAAGAACCUUACCUACUCUUGACAUCCAGAGAAGCCAGCGGAGACGCAGGUGUGCCUUCGGGAGCUCUGAGACAGGUGCUGCAUGGCUGUCGUCAGCUCGUGUUGUGAAAUGUUGGGUUAAGUCCCGCAACGAGCGCAACCCUUAUCCUUGUUUGCCAGCGAGUAAUGUCGGGAACUCCAGGGAGACUGCCGGUGAUAAACCGGAGGAAGGUGGGGACGACGUCAAGUCAUCAUGGCCCUUACGAGUAGGGCUACACACGUGCUACAAUGGCGCAUACAGAGGGCAGCCAACUUGCGAAAGUGAGCGAAUCCCAAAAAGUGCGUCGUAGUCCGGAUUGGAGUCUGCAACUCGACUCCAUGAAGUCGGAAUCGCUAGUAAUCGUAGAUCAGAAUGCUACGGUGAAUACGUUCCCGGGCCUUGUACACACCGCCCGUCACACCAUGGGAGUGGGCUGCAAAAGAAGUCGGUGCGUAACCUUCGGCCCCCCCCCCUCCACUUAGUCCACCCGGUUU